AGUGCGCGCNNNNNNNNNNNNNNNNNNNNNNNNNNNNNNCGGAGGUUGGGGGUCCCCCGGGGGCGGCCCGUAUCCCGGCUUCCUCAGGGAGCGGACCGAGAGCCCGGGCGAGAGCGCGGGCCGCGCGAGGAGCCUCCUGUCCCGGGCUCCCGGAGCAGGAUUGAGGAGGAACCGGGACGAUGGCGGCUCCCUCUCCGGCGUCAUUUCAGUUUUCUACCGAUGCUGUGAUGCCAAAGACGACGCGUCAAAGAUGCUGUAGAAGAGGUUUGGGAUUAAGGCGAAGGUGGCCCCAGAGUAGUCCUCUGUUGCCCUUCAACUCCAGGAUUGCAUGCAAAUCAAGAAACAAACAUGAUGCUGGGAAAGAAGUCGAAAGGCAGGAGAGAAACCCGUAGGCUACUGCUGGUGAAGAGUCAGCUGAUGAUGGUCAGUGAGAAAAUUCCUCGCUAUCAAGUUCUCAUCAACAAGUCAGACGGAAUUAGGAUAUCCUCGACCUACAUUCCUGAGGAGGACAUAACAAUAAUUAUGGGAUAUGAAGUACAGCGUCUUAAGUUACAAACUAUUUUUCCAGGUCUUGUUUAUUUACGUUGAACUAAAAUUAACUGUCCAUUAAGAACACUGAUACUUAAAAAUAAGGUAUACUGCUACUAUAAAAAAAUGUAAUCUUUACCAUGUAACUGAAUAGAAUCCUAAAUUUUAUCAGUAAUAUUAAGAAAAUUUAUUUAAUAGUAUUUCCUUUUACAAUGGUGCUUGGAGUGUAGUUGGUCUGUUUCAGAUAUUCAAAUGGGAAUUUUUUUUUUUCUUUCAGAAAACAGCAAUUAUAAUUUGCUGCUUUCUCGAAAGAUUUUUUUAAAAGGGGGUUCAGAAGAAAGAAAUCUCGUCAGGGUUAGUGGCUUAUUCUAGCAGGCUUUUGGCACAGGUCCCCUGACUCAUUUUGAGACUCCAGUAUAUGCCAUGUGUCAGAAAUUAAACUGCCACCAAUGACAACUAAAUGUGAUACCCUUAGUCUGAGCACAUGAGAUGUCAUACAGAAACCAGUCCAAUCUUUGAUUUCUUUUCUCUUAGCAACUCUACAGAAUUGCAGGACUGCCCAAUUUACAGACUUUUUUUUUUUUUUAAAACACCAUCUUUAAAAAUUCCUGUAAAUUCUAAGAAGUGUUUGGUAACUUAAAAUUUGUUUUUAGGUAUUUCAUGCUAAGCUGAAAACUUUCUUUACCAAAUAUGAAACCAAAAUAUAAUGAAGUUACAGCUAAGAAAAAUCUACCCACAUAAUUAAAUUUUUAUUAAGUAAUUUUUUUCUUGAUGUUCAGCCCCGAUAUACUUUUCUAUCCAACUGGAUAAAUAAAAGCUACAAUAUAUUUAGCUCUUUUUUUUGG
This 1373-nucleotide long non-coding RNA is filed under the name Ursus maritimus (polar bear). RNAcentral's name for it is "lncRNA (ENSUMAG00000015585.1)". The record is from RNAcentral. Lineage: Eukaryota; Metazoa; Chordata; Mammalia; Carnivora; Ursidae.